UGGAACUUGGGUUAAAUGCAUGGAAUUUAUUCUUAGUCCUUUUCUUAAUUACGACUUUUUAUUUCUCUGGUGUUCUCUAGGGGAGGGGUUAGAGAAGAGAGGAAAAGGAAGAAAGAAAGGGGGCAGGGAAAUAUAGAUUCAAUGCUUUUGUUUUGUUUCUGGGCUGCUUGCUAUCAGCAAAGUAGAGAGAUUUAACGGAUCUUGCCGAGAAUGCAAGCCUCAUUCCAAGGAAGCCAGAGCUCAGAAGACAUGGAACAAAUACAAUGAAAACAUAACUUGAGUGUGAUUUCAUUAUGAAGUCAGAUGGAAUGAGGAGUGUGUAAAUCCAGAAUCAGAAUCCCAGCGACGAAGCUUUUCUUGCUCUGUUACCUUGGAAAAUGCUUUGAACCAGACCAGAUAAGAAAAGUAAAAGUCUGGAGUGUAAUCCUUCCAAUUGUCUUUUGGCUUCUCUUCUACUUCUACAAAAAGUUCAACAAAAAUUAGAAUUUGAAACAACGGAAAGAGAGAAAUUUUAGGUUAGUAGCUAAAUCCCCAAGGAUACUAAUUAGAGAAAGAUGUUGGAAUUGCCUUAAUGAGUCACUGCCAACGCAAGUCCUAAGGAAGCAAAGACUGUGAGUAAGCAAAGGUAGCCAGCUGCUGGGAAGAGGACAAUAGAGGAAAAGGUCAGAGGGACUUUAAAAGACUGACUGUGGGCUCCCUGAGGGAAGGAGGGAUGGAGAGAGUAUCGGGUCCUAUAGAAUACCUUAAUUGUUUUUAUGACUUCUCUUUUCCAUAUCCAGUUCACAUGUACUCCUUUCUGUGCAUUAAAUUGAGUUUCUAUUGGCUUCUUUGUAACAAAAAGAACUGAACAGAAACACAUAUCUAUUGGACAAAGAGCAAUAAAAUGAUAUAAUAACUGUA
Molecule: long non-coding RNA, 900 nt
Filed under: Homo sapiens (human)
Lineage: Eukaryota; Metazoa; Chordata; Mammalia; Primates; Hominidae
Description: HSALNT0354568
Source: RNAcentral